UACGUAGGGUGCAGGCGUUAAUCGGAAUUACUGGGCGUAAAGCGUGCGCAGGCGGUUUCUUAAGUCAGAUGUGAAAGCCCCGGGCUUAACCUAGGAAUUGCGCUUGAGACUGGAUAGCUUGGAGUGCGGCAGAGGGAGGUGGAAUUCCACGUGUAGCAGUGAAAUGCGUAGAGAUGUGGAGGAACACCGAUGGCGAAGGCAGCCUCCUGGGCCAGCACUGACGCUCAUGCACGAAAGCGUGGGGAGCAAACAGG
This 254-nucleotide ribosomal RNA is filed under the name uncultured bacterium. RNAcentral describes it as "partial 16S ribosomal RNA". It matches the Rfam family "Bacterial small subunit ribosomal RNA", at positions 524 to 776 of the family's 1533-position model. The record is from RNAcentral.